This is a non-coding RNA of Trichuris suis (pig whipworm), 3542 nucleotides long. The record is from the annotation of a GenBank genome assembly. Lineage: Eukaryota; Metazoa; Nematoda; Enoplea; Trichinellida; Trichuridae.
AACCAGCGCGAUUUUCCAAUUGGAUCCUUUCAUCGCAGAAGGCCACCUAGUGCGAAUGGGAGGCCGAAUAGAGAGGUCCGGAUUGUCGUAUGAUGCCCGACAUCCUAUCAUCUUGCCCCACAGACAUAUGGUGGUGGACCUGCUUGUAAGAAGCGAACAUGAAAAGCAAAUGCACGCAGGAACAGAGCACACCUUAGCAACGCUGCGCCAGAACGUUUGGAUACUGAAGGCCAGGAGUACGGUCAAACGGAUCGUGAGGGAAGGUGUAAUCUGUAAGCGGUUUUCAUCAAGCCGAUUUGUGCAGAAAAUGGCACCGCUACCAGAAGAAAGGAUUACUCAAGCAUUUCCUUUUUGAAAGAACGGGCGUAGACUUCGCUGGCCCCUUGUACGUCAAAUAUGGGAAAUACAGCAAAAAGGCCUACGCCUGCUUGUUUACGUGCAUGACCAUGCGAGCAGUGCAUUUGGAGUUGGUAAUGAAUAUGUCGACUGACCAAUUUCUAUUAGCACUGCGACGUUUCGUGACACAUCGCGAGAGACCGUCCUUAAUGCAAUCAGACAAUUCUACCACGUUUAAAGCCGCAGAUAAGGAAAUUCAGCGGUUGUUCAGCGGUCGAAGUCUGGACCAAAUUAAAGAGAAGCUCUCACCUGAAGGCAUUACGUGGAAAUUCAUUACGGAGAGAGCGCCGUGGACUGGCGGUUACUGGGAGCGUCUGGUUCGGUCGGUAAAGAUGGCCUUGCGAAAGGUGUUAGGCCAUGCACUACUCACUGAACUGGAGAUGGGUACAGUGUUAGCCGAACAUGAGGCGAAGGACAACGCCAGGCCGUUGACAUUUGUGGGUGAAGAUCCAAAAGACGUGAACGUACUAACUCCGUUCCACUUUCUCAUUGGAAGAGAACAUCAGGAGUUCCCUGAGCAAAAACCAACACAGGGACUACCCACCCUCAAACAGCCACUGAACUACGAGGCAGAUGGAAGUACCAGCAAAGACUGGUUGCCCAUUUCUGGAAACGGUGGCGCACAGAAUACAUUACCAUACUGUCUGUAAGGAAAAAUGGUGUGGAGUGAAACCGUCACCAAUGGUGGGCGAUAUAGUGUUGGUGGCAGAGGAAAACCUGCCCAGAAUACGUUGGGCAAUGGGCAGGGUCCUUCAAGUAUUGCCAGGAUCUGACAAUUUGGUGCGCAGCGUACGACUCAGAACCUCAAGGGGCGACAUUACCAGGCCCGUCGCAAAGGUGCACCUAUUGAAGCAAGGGCUGACUCUGAUAAGCCCACCUGGCCGGAUGCCAGGGUUGUUACGGUCAGAGGACCGUGAGAAACCGGGAUAUCAUUAUCGCCCCAGGUUUCCGUGUGAAUAACCACCAUUGUAGCACCUGGCAGAUCAGAGCGCGCCGAUUCACAAGAAAUUAUUCACACGCGGUCACUUCUGACAGAUUCGCGAGGUCACCGAGGCUUGAUUGAUCGAUCUGCCAGUAAUCCCUCUUGAACUCGUUUCACCUCCAUUGUACUACCAGUUUAUAAGCGAUGAAUAUUAUACCAGUAAACCUUUUGCUUACGGUACAUCUCGGGGAACACACUGAUUCCAGUUACUAACGCUUCAUCCGCAACAGUUGUAAUUUUCAAUUGCAUGUUGUUGUCGUCAAGUAAAAUGUUGGCAGCCAAAUGCCUCGUCAUCUAACUAGUGACGCACAUAAAUGAAUCAACAAGGUUCCUAUUGUCCCUAUCUACUGUCUAGCGAAACCACAGCCAAGGGAACGGGCUUGGCAAAAUCAGGGGGAAAGAAGACCCUGUUGAGCUUGACGCUAGUCUGUCUCUGUGAAGACACAUUGAAGGUGUAGCACAGGUGGGAGGCACGUGGCCGCUUGCGGUGCCGCGCCGACAGUGAAAUACAGUGAAACCUCCAUAAUCCGUACCUCCGUAAUCCGAACCCUCUAUUAUCCGAAUCCGCCGCGGAGAACAACAGACCGACAUUAUGCACUAAGCAUGCUUAGGCGACCUCAUCGCCGCCCGCUGUAAUAACUUGUCUCCUUUCUUCUGGUCGUUUUUGUUGGAUGUGAUGCCCGAGGAGGAACAACAUGCCGAGGAAGAUGAAGGGGAGCACAGCGCGGUUCCAACACACAACGGAGCAUUUGUUCCACUGGAGGCUGCGUUGCUGUGGUUCGAAGAUCAGGACGAAUGCGAUAAAAGACGACCUUUUGUGCUUAAAAAGGCAUCCGUGACUUAGCCGCUAGCAAACGUAAAAGCGUACUCAAGCAUACGCUGAUAACUGACCACCUACAAUAAAUCUUCCUUUCGCGGACUUCUAUUCCUUCGGAGGAAAGACGUGUGGGCACCUGCGGAUGAUCCAGGGAACAAAGUCUACAAUAAGUUAAGAAUCGCGCAAUGAUAAACUGUUAAUUCAAUUUUUCUCGGGAGGUGGAGCGAGCUGGCAACAGCGAGUCCGAAAAAGUAAACUCGCGGGACUGUUUCCCCUGCCGCUUCGUCAUACAGUUUCUGCGCGACAAAGAAAACUGUUUUCUCCUAGCCACAGACUUUCGUUCGUCAAAUAGUCACCCCCAUAAGCUAAAGCGGUUACAUUUAACAUGUUGUUACCUCCUGCAUUCACAUCCAGUACCUGCAAGCUCCCUCCAUAAUCCGAAUUCCUCUAUUUUCCGAACCACCCCGGGGCCCGUUGAUGUUCGGAUUAUGGAGUUUUGACUGUACCACUACUUUGAUCGUUUAUUUACUUAUUCCGUCAAGCGGAAGAAACGGUCACUCGCGUGGCCGUCCCACGGCGCGCGACGACUGCCACUUUUCCUGCAAAGCCCACGGGACGCCUCCCCGCAGUCGGCGGCAGCUCGAGCACCCGUAGCAACGCGAGGUGCCGUCCAGGGCGAUCCGCUCCGAAGACAGUGUCAGGCGGGGAGUUUGACUGGGGCGGUACAUCUGUUAAACGGUAACGCAGGUGUACCAAGGUGAGCUCAGCGAGGACAGAAACGUCGCCUGGAGUAAACGGGCAAAGGCUCACUUGAUUUUGAUUUCCAGUACGAAUAGAGAGCUCGAAACCGUGGCCUAUCGAUCCUUUUGAUUUUGCAGAUUUCAUGUAAGAGCUGUCAGAAAAGUUACCACAGGGAUAACUGGGUUCUGGCAGCCAAGCGCCCAUAGCGACGUUGCUUUCUGAACCUUCGAUGACGGCCCUUCCUACCAUUGCGAAGCACAAUUCGCCAAGCUUUGGAUUGUUCACCCACAAAUAGGGAACGUGAGCUGGGUUUANACCGUCGUGAGACAGGUUAGUUUUACCCUACUGAUCACUGACCGUUGCCAUACUAAUCCUGCUCAGUACGGGAGAAACCGUAGGAUCAGACAUUUGGUUCAUGCGCUUGGCUGAAAGGCCAGUGGCGCGAACCUACCAUCUGAAAGAUAGUGACUGAACGCCUCUAAGUCAGAAUCUUGCCUAUCGACUGGCGACGAUACGUUGCGUCCGACUUCUUGCAAAGUUGACGGUAGACCGGCAGUGGCCUUGCGCGGUCGACCGGUCUCCACUUGAAGCCGUGCUGCCACUUGU